UGUUCUCACAGAUAUGAAUGAGUAGAUAGGACACGCCCCUUUGAGCUGCGUGCUACAGAGAGGCUAAGCUAGUGGGGGAAAAGUUUCAGUGCAUUCCGUUGAUGUAGACGGCGUAAAAACGGAAACAAGAAGUAUGCCGGCUCACUGUGCUGCAUACAAUUACACACUACGUCGUACGAUUGAGACAAGGAAACCUGGAAUGACUUUUCAUAGGUUUCCCAGAGACUAUGGGUUGAGGAGGAAUUGGAAGUUUGUCGGCUUAGACCUGGUGUCAUUCCAUCAGUGUUAAACUUCCCGGCUCAUCUUGGAAGAGUACGUGCCAGAAAGACCACGACCAAGUAGCCUUGAGAUCUUAGGCAGCGUCUCCCUGAAACCAAAGAACUACAGACUCUUCACAACCUGCUCAAACUCUUGGUACAGGACCUCACCACACGGGUCAAGAAGGUUUCCGUCUCAUUUCUACUCUGAAGAUCACCUUCUCCUGCUCAAACUGCUGACAAAUGUUUCUGCUGCUCUAAAGUCUGGUCUCCCAAACUUCCUAAAAACUCUCAAAGUCUCUUCUGCUGCAGGUUGCUUUGUAGAACUGUUCCAGAAAACCUCACUAAACCACGUGGAGGGGCCUCAAGAUAGUCAUCCAAAUGAAACCGUACAAAAACCAAACUAUCACAACCCAAACGCUAAAGUCUCCUGCAGCCUACCAGAGAACCUCUGAGAACAGAGAAUCAGGACAGGAACUCUUACCUUCUGGACAACCAACCGUGGUUCUCAAACAAGAAUACAGAAUGUGUCUGACCAAAAACCUCUGAAGACUCACUACAGCCAAGAUAAAGACACAACUCAGCUGCACCAAAUCCACUAAUCACUGCACACAUUAGCACCAUGUGCUCACUGUGGCUAAAGAACCACAUUUACCAAGACAACUAUCCAGUACAAAGCCCUAAAACACACCAAGAAACACAUUAAAGAUGAUUUUACUGCUGGAAGCUGCAAGCCAACGCCUAAAGAACAACCUAAAGCAACGGAGCCAAACCCAGUUCAGUGGUGAACAGAAGUAGAGGAAAUGUUUGCCUGCAGCUAAAUAAAGCAGGAAGACACUGAGCUGCCCAGGUGUUCCUGAUAACACCAAGCAGCCACCUGGAC
Long non-coding RNA from Amphiprion ocellaris (clown anemonefish), 1140 nucleotides. Lineage: Eukaryota; Metazoa; Chordata; Actinopteri; Pomacentridae. The record is from Ensembl.